UACGUAGGGUGCAAGCGUUAAUCGGAAUUACUGGGCGUAAAGCGUGCGCAGGCGGUUCUGUAAGAUAGAUGUGAAAUCCCCGGGCUCAACCUGGGAAUUGCAUAUAUGACUGCAGGACUUGAGUUUGUCAGAGGAGGGUGGAAUUCCACGUGUAGCAGUGAAAUGCGUAGAUAUGUGGAAGAACACCGAUGGCGAAGGCAGCCCUCUGGGAUAUGACUGACGCUCAUGCACGAAAGCGUGGGGAGCAAACAGG
Molecule: ribosomal RNA, 253 nt
Filed under: Sutterella wadsworthensis
Lineage: Bacteria; Pseudomonadati; Pseudomonadota; Betaproteobacteria; Burkholderiales; Sutterellaceae
Description: partial 16S ribosomal RNA
Rfam family: Bacterial small subunit ribosomal RNA
Source: RNAcentral